UGUGCGUGUGUGCUGGAGGGGGGAGGGAGCCACGCAGCCCCUCCCCCUAACCCUAUCCCUCUGCCGAAUGCCGAGCCACGUCUGA
This 85-nucleotide small nucleolar RNA is filed under the name Leishmania donovani. RNAcentral describes it as "C/D box snoRNA LD36Cs4C2". The record is from RNAcentral. Lineage: Eukaryota; Euglenozoa; Kinetoplastea; Trypanosomatida; Trypanosomatidae.